Long non-coding RNA from Bombus huntii, 1318 nucleotides. RefSeq lists it as uncharacterized. Lineage: Eukaryota; Metazoa; Arthropoda; Insecta; Hymenoptera; Apidae. The record is from RefSeq and is a predicted model, not a curated record. The transcript has 4 exons.
AUUUAUAAAAGCGCUUCCUGCAGCAGUUAUGUAUAGAUUGGUAUAAAUAUAAAUGUAUAAAGUAUACGUUUACAAAGUUGUCUGUAAACAAAGUGUAAUAAUAUUUACCGUGUAUUGGAUUGUAUAUAACGACGGAAAUAAAGAAUAAUAAGAAAAAGUAAGAUAUUAUUAAAAGUCGCUCUUAUUAAUAGAUAUAAAUAAUAGUUGAAUAACCUUUUCAUAAGAUUGCUAAAGAUAACCUCAAAAGAAAAUACAACUUUUUUGCAAAGUUUAACGAUAAAUUAUAUUACAAUUUUAAAUUAACAUCAAAUUUUGAGCUACACACAUCUUAGUAAUUAAAUCUGUAUGGUGUUAUCCGUUUUUACUUUAAGGUGAUUUAUACUUCGUGUUUAUUACAAAUUUUUGCAGUCAUCAUAGAGAACAUACAGAAUUAACAUUUAAGUUUGGAACGUUAGUUCAAAUGCCUGAUUACUCAGCCAAGGGAUGCAGAAACAAGUCAAAGAGUGGCCAUAGUUGUACACACAGAUCUGUUAACUGCUGUAAAGGAGAUAAGGUUCUUAAUGUUGCAAGAUGUACUUUACCAAUCGGCCACCAUUGAACACUGCGAUCGAGUAGCUAGGAUUUUGUGUUUGGCGCCAUUCUUCGGUGAAAGCACUAAAGAUACAUCUACAAUACUCCAUUUAUUACAGAAAGCAUUGUUUAAAUGAAUAUUAAUUAUGAACCAUUAUUAAACAUGCAUUAUUAUUACCAACAAACAAGUUUAACAAGACCACAAUUUUCAAAUUAAAUAUGUACACAUAUCUUUAAUGCUUUUACAUUUGACGCAUAUAUUGGAAAAACAUACAACGAGUAGAUAUUACGGAAUCAGAUCCAACAGCAAACAAUACAAUAUGUAUAGAACUCUAAUCAUGGAAACACCAACACCUUUGGUAGCCGAAGUUAUGCACAAGUAACUAACCAAUCGCCACCCUUAACACCAACAUAGCCAAAUCCAUCAGUAAUACGCUCAAGCAACCACCGUUACAAUACUAACUAACGGCAAUUACUUCCAGAUGUAGCAGUAUAUGCACCACUGCGAACAGGCAGUACAUUGACAGAGAUUAUAGAAGUAGCAUUGGCAACUACUACUUAUGAACCAAAUAAUAGGCAAACAAAAAUAAUUCCGCAAGACUUUCUUGACAAAAUCAGAGGAAAAAAGGUAAGCGAAAGCAAAAUGACAAAAACAUAGAGCAUGUGAAAGCAAAAAAACAUCUAAACAAACUUGCAAAGGAAAUAGAAAGUAAAAUAAAAGAUCAUAAUAAUAACGAAUUCUCAAAAU